This 254-nucleotide long non-coding RNA is filed under the name Elaeis guineensis (African oil palm). RNAcentral describes it as "long non-coding RNA (EGUI_LNC039676)". The record is from RNAcentral. Lineage: Eukaryota; Viridiplantae; Streptophyta; Magnoliopsida; Arecales; Arecaceae.
AUGGUCAUGCUGUAUUUGACAGCACUAGAGCCAUAGCUCAUGCUAAGAAAUCGAAGUUCUAUCAGCUUAUCGAGUACAUUCAGCAUCGCUACCAUCUUAUCUGGGAGAUCAUGGAUCAAAGUAACAUCGACUUUUAGAAGAUCGACAGAAAAAAGAAUCUGAUCGAUCCAUUUACUGAAGCCUCAGUAUUAAGGAGUUCGAUGAUUAUAAAUCGAAGAUGGAUAUAAAAUACUAUACUGAUUGACUUUAGUCCA